AAAGAAAUAGUAAAAUGAUGAAAUCUUCACAGAGAGAAAACGGUGGUGAGAGUUUUCAAGAGGAAGUCUUUGAACCUGUCUUUUAGCUUAAAGGUAUAAAAAUCUUUACGGUAGGAACCGUUAUAUUCCCAAAAGAGAGCUAUUCAUAUAGCUAACUAGAGUGGUACCGCGGAAAUUAAACCUUUCGUCUCUAUACUUGUAUAGAGAUGAGAGGUUUUUUAUAU
Molecule: non-coding RNA, 224 nt
Filed under: Clostridioides difficile
Lineage: Bacteria; Bacillati; Bacillota; Clostridia; Peptostreptococcales; Peptostreptococcaceae
Also listed under: 1 other name
Rfam family: T-box leader (bases 1-195)
About the family: Uncharged tRNA acts as the effector for transcription antitermination of genes in the T-box leader family.
Source: RNAcentral